This 730-nucleotide long non-coding RNA is filed under the name Daucus carota (carrot). RNAcentral's name for it is "long non-coding RNA (DCAR_LNC006307)". Lineage: Eukaryota; Viridiplantae; Streptophyta; Magnoliopsida; Apiales; Apiaceae. The record is from RNAcentral.
AGUUGAUCAAGUCCUCUCAUUUCAGGUUCAUUUUCUUUAGUACUAUUGGGUUUAUUGAGUCGUCUCAUUUUGAGGUUUUGAAUGUUUCACUGUAUUUCUUUGCAUUCACUAUGUGUGUUCUUAUUAUUUCAUAUUCCAAUUUGUUUUGCUUUACAGUGGAUUUGUCAAAUAUUUAUGGUGGCUCAUUCCAUGAAAAUGGAAUGUACUUGGCAACUUUUGAGGCAAGAAAGUUGUUGCAGCAGUGGACCUUGGUAAAAUGUAGAUUUAUUUUGUUUUUUUGGUGUAAAUCUUUUUUCUAUAUAAACGUAGCUACAUUAGAAUUGUCAUUCAGUUGUUUUAUAUACUCUAGAUUACAUUGUAACAUUGGAAAGUGAUGAAUUUGUUUACACUUAUGAUAACAUGACAAAAAUAGUGCAGGGUCAUAGGAACGAUCAAUUCUACUUGGCUACAAAAGGUGGAAUAAUACUUCUACAAGGGAUGAUUCCAAACACUGACAUGGUCAUAAGGAGCAACACAGUAUCAAUCCAGCUAAUGAAUUCACCUGGUGCUCAAAUUAGUCAAGUUCGUAAUGUUAUAUGUCAACAGAAUGACAACCAUACAACACUGUACAGGCAUUUGGGGAACCAAGUAGUCGCUGUUCUCAUGUAUGCAAGGUGUACAGGAGUAUAAUGAACCAUUUAUUGGUAGGUUUAUAUGUUGGAUAUUCCACGACCAUAGAAUUUUGUGCACG